Long non-coding RNA from Aegilops tauschii subsp. strangulata, 1447 nucleotides. RefSeq lists it as uncharacterized. The record is from RefSeq and is a predicted model, not a curated record. NCBI's taxonomy places the organism in Eukaryota, Viridiplantae, Streptophyta, Magnoliopsida, Poales, Poaceae.
GGGGUGGCUGACGGCGGGGCCCACGCGCGCGAACGUACUCUACGUGCCUCCCGGAGCGGGACGCGCAGGCCGUGGCUAGUAGCGCCGGCACGUCGAGCCCCACCACCGCACCAUAUCACCCCACCCCACGGUGGAUACGUAAAAUCCGGGGGAGUACGUCUUCCGAUGCAGGCGAGCCAGCCGCGGUCGCCUUCCCGCCGAGACCGGCCCGGCCCGGGGGCAGCCCCGUCAUUUCGGCCUCCCCUCCCCAUGCUGUACCGCCGCUGCCGCAGAUCUAGGCGCCCUAUUUAAUUUCGUCUAAGCCGCUCAGUGUCACUGUGGAGGGUUGGGAGGGAAAGGAAAGGGAAGCCGAACCAAUUCGUUCGUUCGUUCCGGCCGUGUGGAUUGGACGUUUCAAAACAAGAAAUCGCAAGCCUAGCUACAGAGAGAAAGGCCACUAGUUAUAUAGAGAGAAAGGAAGGAGCUGCGCCGUCUUGAGACCUUUGAGAGUGUCCACCAGCCAGCGGCGGAGGAAGACGAGGAGCACCAAGGGAGGAGGAUACCAGGCCGGCGAAGCUCACAGCCAGCUCUCGUCCAUGCUUUGGUGGUGUCUCGUCUGCACCCUGCUGCGUGCAUGUGCGUAUGAUCUUUUGGGCUAAAGCGAGGAGGUAGCAGGCAGCCGCGGGCACGGCGCAUCGCAUGGAGGAGAGGGUGAAAAGAGGAAGAGCAGAAGAAGGUGAGGGCGAAGAAGCGAGGCUAACGGAAAGGAGCCUUGGGGCGGGCCCACCGGCCCUGAGGUGAGGGGGAGGGCGGGGUGGGAGGAGGAGGAGGAGGCGGAGGAUCUCCUCUCACGUCAAAGGUGGGGGAAAGCAUAAAGGGACGAGGAAGGAGGAAGAGAAGGUGGCGGAGAGGAGAAAGCGAGCUGCAGGGAAGAAAGGCACCAAGCUUCACUGAGUGAGCAAGGGAUAGAGUGUGAGUGAGUGUGGGAGUGAGCGACUGUGUGAUCCCUCUCCCCCUAUAUAGAGCUUGAGCUUGUGGGCAUCCUGUUCUUCCACCACCAUUUGGUUCCCCACCCACUACAGUCGGUCAGCGUGCCGGUGAAGUUGAAGAGGAGGAGGCGCCAUGGCAUUGCAGGAGCAGGAAGAAGACGAGGAAGACGAAGAUGAAGGAGAAGACGGCGAGGAAGAUGGGAUCAUGACGAGGGUGCUGUGGUGGGGGAGGAGCUGCUGCUGAUUUCCUCCCCUGUCUUACCAGAGGCGCGCUGCCUGCUCCGGAGUAGUAGUAAGAUAUUGGCACAAUAGGCUCAAUCACUUUUUCUUUCCCUUGUUUUGCUGUUUUUGCGCUCCUUUCCCCGUUCAGUCCAUUGAUGAUUGCAUACUCUUCCCCGUGUAAUUUCUUCCCUUUUGAUCUGUUGUUCUUGUUGGUUUCCCCGAUUCGGAAUGGAAAAAAAGCUUUGGCAAACGCAAAA